Molecule: ribosomal RNA, 547 nt
Filed under: uncultured archaeon
Lineage: Archaea
Description: bacterial SSU rRNA
Rfam family: Archaeal small subunit ribosomal RNA
Source: RNAcentral
GUGCAGCAGGCGCGAAAACUUUGCAAUAAGCGAAAGCUUGACAGGGCUAUCCCGAGUGCCAUCCGCUGAGGAAGGCUUUUACCCAGUCUAGAACGCUGGGGGAAUAAGGAGAGGGCAAGUCUGGUGUCAGCCGCCGCGGUAAUACCAGCUCUCCGAGUGGUGUGGAUGUUUAUUGGGCCUAAAGCACCCGUAGCUGGCUAAGUUAGUCCCCUGUUAAAUCCACCGAAUUAAUCGUUGGAUUGCGGGGGAUACUGCUUGGCUAGGGGACGAGAGAGGCAGACGGUAUUUCCGGGGUAGGGGUGAAAUCCUAUAAUCCCGGGAAGACCACCAGUGGCGAAGGCUGUCUGCUAGAACGCGCCCGACGGUGAGGGAUGAAAGCUGGGGGAGCGAACCGGAUUAGAUACCCGGGUAGUCCCAGCUGUAAACGAUGCAGACUAGGUGUUUGAACGGCCACGUGCCGUUCUAGUGCCGCAGGGAAGCUGUUAAGUCUGCCGCCUGGGGAGUACGAUCGCAAGAUUGAAACUUAAAGGAAUUGGCGGGGGAGCAC